RNAcentral lists this ribosomal RNA (788 nucleotides) under uncultured bacterium. Its description in RNAcentral is "bacterial SSU rRNA". It matches the Rfam family "Bacterial small subunit ribosomal RNA", at positions 8 to 796 of the family's 1533-position model. The record is from RNAcentral.
AGAGUUUGAUCAUGGCUCAGGAUGAACGCUAGCGGCAGGCCUAAUACAUGCAAGUCGUACGGGAUUGGGGAGCUUGCUCCCCAUGAGAGUGGCGCACGGGUGCGUAACACGUAUGCAACCUACCUUUAACUGGGGGAUAGCCUUUCGAAAGAGAGAUUAAUACCGCAUAAGACAGCACGAUCGCAUGAAAGAGUUGUUAAAGCUUCGGUGGUUAAAGAUGGGCAUGCGUUGCAUUAGCUAGUUGGUAAGGUAACGGCUUACCAAGGCUACGAUGCAUAGGGGAUCUGAGAGGAUGAUCCCCCACACUGGUACUGAGACACGGACCAGACUCCUACGGGAGGCAGCAGUAAGGAAUAUUGGUCAAUGGGCGCAAGCCUGAACCAGCCAUGCCGCGUGCAGGAAGACGGCCCUAUGGGUUGUAAACUGCUUUUAUCGGGGAAUAAACCUCAUUACGUGUAAUGAGUUGAAGGUACCCGAAGAAUAAGGAUCGGCUACUCCGUGCCAGCAGCCGCGGUAAUACGGAGGAUCCAAGCGUUAUCCGGAUUUAUUGGGUUUAAAGGGUGCGUAGGCGGUUUAUUAAGUCAGUGGUGAAAGCCCGGAGCUCAACUUCGGAACUGCCAUUGAUACUGAUAGACUUGAGUACAGAUGAAGUGGGCGGAAUGUGACAAAGCGGUGAAAUGCUUAGAUAUGUCACAGAACACCGAUUGCGAAGGCAGCUCACUAAAGUGUAACUGACGCUGAGGCACGAAAGCGUGGGGAUCAAACAGGAUUAGAUACCCUAGUAGUCC